Molecule: transfer RNA, 67 nt
Filed under: Loxodonta africana (African savanna elephant)
Lineage: Eukaryota; Metazoa; Chordata; Mammalia; Proboscidea; Elephantidae
Rfam family: tRNA
About the family: Transfer RNA (tRNA) molecules are approximately 80 nucleotides in length.
Source: Rfam by way of RNAcentral
GGUGGCACAGUUGUUAAACAUUUGGCUGCUAACCAAAAGGUCGGCAGUUUGAAUCCACCAGCCACCA